UACGUAGGGUGCAAGCGUUGUCCGGAAUUAUUGGGCGUAAAGAGCUCGUAGGCGGUCUGUCGCGUCUGCUGUGAAAAUCCAGGGCUCAACCCUGGACCUGCAGUGGGUACGGGCAGACUAGAGUGCGGUAGGGGAGAUCGGAAUUCCUGGUGUAGCGGUGAAAUGCGCAGAUAUCAGGAGGAACACCGGUGGCGAAGGCGGAUCUCUGGGCCGUAACUGACGCUGAGGAGCGAAAGCAUGGGAGCGAACAGG
Molecule: ribosomal RNA, 252 nt
Filed under: uncultured bacterium
Lineage: Bacteria
Description: partial 16S ribosomal RNA
Rfam family: Bacterial small subunit ribosomal RNA
Source: RNAcentral